This 253-nucleotide ribosomal RNA is filed under the name uncultured bacterium. RNAcentral describes it as "partial 16S ribosomal RNA". It matches the Rfam family "Bacterial small subunit ribosomal RNA", at positions 524 to 776 of the family's 1533-position model. The record is from RNAcentral.
UACAGAGGUCUCAAGCGUUGUUCGGAUUCAUUGGGCGUAAAGGGUGCGUAGGCGGCGGGGCAAGUCAGGUGUGAAAUCCCGGGGCUCAACCCUGGAACUGCACUUGAUACUGCUUUGCUAGAGUACUGGAGAGGAGAUUGGAAUUUACGGUGUAGCAGUGAAAUGCGUAGAUAUCGUAAGGAAGACCAGUGGCGAAGGCGAAUCUCUGGACAGUUACUGACGCUGAGGCACGAAGGCCAGGGGAGCAAACGGG